This 249-nucleotide long non-coding RNA is filed under the name Junco hyemalis (dark-eyed junco). RNAcentral describes it as "lncRNA (ENSJHYG00000016179.1)". The record is from RNAcentral. Lineage: Eukaryota; Metazoa; Chordata; Aves; Passeriformes; Passerellidae.
GCGGGCGCGGGGCGGGGCCGGGGCGGGCGCGGGGCGGGGCCGGGGCGGGCGCGGGGCGGCCCCGGCAGCGGGGAUGGCGGCGGCGGCGGCCGGGUGAGGGGCCGCGGCUGGCAGCGCCGAGCCCGCCGGCACCGGCUGGGGACAGGGACAGAGCGCCGGCCCCGCGGGAUAUUUCCAGAAAGUGCCUCGAGGAAGCUUCCUUAUGUAGAAAAACCCCACAAGAAACACAGUGUGUGCUUCCUGGCAGCU